This 1731-nucleotide long non-coding RNA is filed under the name Mus musculus (house mouse). RNAcentral's name for it is "predicted gene, 50186". Lineage: Eukaryota; Metazoa; Chordata; Mammalia; Rodentia; Muridae. The record is from RNAcentral.
AUUUUAAGAAGGAGGACCAUCUGGACAUGAGAGGCCAAAUGCACAGCUGAGGGGGGAAGAGACAGCAUAAAUGUUGGUACUAGAGGGAUGGGUAUCUGUUGAGUUCUCAGAGGGAGCUCUCAGGUUAUGCCUUUUAAGAAGAGACAAGGAAACUAGAAAGACGAGUGCUUCUUGAAGGCUUUGUCCCUUGGGCUGCUGGGUUUAAUUGUCUAAAGGCCUUGAGGAAGGACAGCCCAGGAUCUGGGAUAGGCAAUGUGUCUAACAGGGUGAACUAUCUGCUAAGCUCUUUGAUCCACGGCACCCAGCAAGCACCCAGCACCUUCUGCCUGCUGCUCUGGAGGCCGUCUCCUUGCUGCAUGCAUCUGCAGUGGCCAUUAUCUUUACGCAGGAGCUUUUUUCCCCCCCUAGUGGGCUCCUCUGGCCCCUUCUCAUCUUUUGCUUUCUCCUUUCAGAAAGGCCUUCCCUGACCUUUCCAUCUGAAGUAGGCCUUUUCUUCUUGACUCCCUGUCACCUCACGCCGCUGUCCAUCACUCUGUGGACACUCUGUGUCUACUGUAGUUCCUGACAUUUCUCCUGCUUGUACUCUGUAGAGUGUAAACACUAUGGAAUCAUGGACUUGGUGUAUCUGAUUUUUUUUUUGGAACAUGUAAAUGUGUGUGUGGUAUGUACAUGGAUGUAUAUGCAUGUUUGGACACAUGCACAUGGGUAGAAGCCAGAAGUUGAUGUAUUUGACGUCUUUGACUGUUGUCCACCUUCUACACUGAGGCAUGAUCUUCCAGCCAAGAGUGGAGGACUUGUUGAUUCAGUGAGUCAAGCUGCUCUUCCUGGUCUGGUAACCCCUGGCUCUGCUUUCCAAGUGCUGGUGUUAUAGGCAGGCCACCAGGUCCACCUGGCAUUUCUGUGGGUGCUGCUGUCUGGACUCUGGUUCUCAUAUUUCCACAGCAUGCGCCUUACCCACUGAGACCUCUCCCCAGUCCUGGUCUUAGGUGUAUCCCAUCGUCCCCACAGAAUGUACAAGGUACAGUAGAUCUUCAGGACUUGUUUUUGUCUCGGAAACAAGAAUGGAAGAGAUGUAUAAACACGCCGUAAGAGCCUCUGUGUGGGUUUAAGAGGGCUCUUCUUCCCUCCGUGAUGAUCGUGGUCUUGCGUCUUGAGAUGAAGCCUCUCUAGUUAGGUCAUAGAGGCUCAACAACAACAACAACAAUAACAACAACCAACCAUCUAAACUGUAGGGUGUUGGUGCCAGAAGAGGUCUGCAGGCCAGCAACAUGAGCAUUUUCUGAGCUUUUUUCAGACAUAUAAAACCAGAGGACUCUUACCAAUCCUACAUCCAAAUCUACACACACUUCCCCAAGUGAUACAUGAAUACACUGGUGAAUGAGACAUCCUGAUGGAGAGAGGACUCAUCUGGUGCGGGGAGGACUCAUCUGGUAGAGGGAAGACUCAUCUGGUGGAGGGAGGACUCAUCUGGUAGAAGAAGGACUCAUCUGGUGCUCUGUUGUCUUACACGCCUUCGCGACCGGCCAGGAAAGACGCAACAAACCGGAAUCUUCUGUGGCAAAAGCUUUAUUGCUUACAUCUUCAGGAGCCAGAGAGCAAGAGAGCCAGAGCAAGAGCAAGAGAGAGCAAGAAAGCAAGAAAAAGAACAAGAACAAGAAAGCAAGAGAGAGCAAGAAAGCAAGAAAAAGAACAAGAACAAGAAAGCAAGAGAGAGAACAAGAACAAGAAAGC